This 24-nucleotide non-coding RNA is filed under the name Arabidopsis thaliana (thale cress). Lineage: Eukaryota; Viridiplantae; Streptophyta; Magnoliopsida; Brassicales; Brassicaceae. The record is from RNAcentral.
AGUCAAGUCGUCGGCAACUCAAUC